Long non-coding RNA from Hippoglossus stenolepis (Pacific halibut), 290 nucleotides. RefSeq lists it as uncharacterized. NCBI's taxonomy places the organism in Eukaryota, Metazoa, Chordata, Actinopteri, Pleuronectiformes, Pleuronectidae. The record is from RefSeq and is a predicted model, not a curated record. The transcript has 3 exons.
CUCUUGUGUCACUUCCUAUUGUGAGUCGUAGGUUAAAAUCAUUUUAUUUUGCAAAACGUGUCACAGGAGCAGUCACAUGAGUCUGGUGUCUGGAUCCUAGGCGGAAGGAAGCAGAUGGGGUGGUUGGUAUCUGGGCCUCUCCUCCAGGCCUCAAAGCCCCCGAUUCCCCCUGUUUACCCACCAACAUCCUGCACAAACAGGCUUCAGAUACAGACAACACUAAGCUAACCACCCUUCAGCUCCAGCUUGAGACAAGAGUAAAGCAGUUUUCAGACAUGACCUCUCAAGGA